RNAcentral lists this ribosomal RNA (783 nucleotides) under uncultured bacterium. RNAcentral describes it as "bacterial SSU rRNA". It matches the Rfam family "Bacterial small subunit ribosomal RNA", at positions 1 to 793 of the family's 1533-position model. The record is from RNAcentral.
AAUUCGAUUGAGUUUGAUCAUGGCUCAGGAUGAACGCUGGCGGCGUGCUUAACACGUGCAAGUCAAGGGGGCCCAGCAAUGGGCAACCGGCGAACGGGUGCGUAACACGUGAGCAACCUACCCAGGUGUGGGGGAUAGCCGUCCCAACGGACGGGUAAUACCGCAUACGCUCUUCUUUAGGCAUUUAGAGAAGAGGAAACCUUCGGGGCACCAUGAGGGGCUCGCGGCCUAUCAGCUAGUUGGCGAGGUAACGGCUCACCAAGGCUACGACGGGUAGCUGGUCUGAGAGGAUGGCCAGCCACAUUGGGACUGAGAAACGGCCCAGACUCCUACGGGAGGCAGCAGUGGGGAAUCUUGCGCAAUGGCCUAACGGCUGACGCAGCGACGCCGCGUGAGGGAUGACGCUCUUCGGAGUGUAAACCUCUUUUGCCCGGAACGAAUUGCCACCAUCAGGUGGCUUGACGGUACCGGUUGAAUAAGCACCGGCUAACUCCGUGCCAGCAGCCGCGGUAAUACGGGGGGUGCGAGCGUUGUCCGGAAUCACUGGGCGUAAAGGGCGCGUAGGUGGCGUGAUAAGGGUGUGGUGAAAGCCCGGGGCUCAACCCCGGGUCUGCCAUGCCGACUGUCAGGCUCGAGUACUGUAGGGGCAGGCGGAAUUCCGGGUGUAGCGGUGGAAUGCGUAGAGAUCCGGAGGAAGACCGGUGGCGAAGGCCGCCUGCUGGGCAAUUACUGACACUGAGGCGCGACAGCGUGGGGAGCAAACAGGAUUAGAUACCCUGGUAG